Molecule: long non-coding RNA, 459 nt
Organism: Condylura cristata (star-nosed mole)
Lineage: Eukaryota; Metazoa; Chordata; Mammalia; Eulipotyphla; Talpidae
Exons: 3
Source: RefSeq, a predicted model, not a curated record
UUCAGCUGGAGAUGGGCCGAGAAGGGCAUUAUCAACAGAGAGAAGAGCAGGGCAGAGACUCGGGCAUAGUUUGAGAAGUGGGUGUUGGGCAUGGCUGGCAAACUGGUCCUCCGAGCCUACGAACCUCCUCCGGCUUCUCUAUGUGGUUAACUCUACACUUACUGUGCAGAAGCGCCUCGUGGUUUGCAUUCCUAGAAGCCCCCUCAGGCCCGGCAUGCUUCGUGUAAACUUUUUACUGAAGUAUAACUUUAUACAAAUGAGUAUAUACAUUAUGGGAACAGCUCAAUGAAUUUUCACAGUCAACACACCUGUGGAAUUACCCACUAAGGAAACAGAACAUGACUGAUACCCCAAACUCUUUGACUCUCACUUUUAAUCAUUUCUCUAGCCUGACCUGUAACACAGAUUCCUUUAUUGUUUUGGAACUUUCCAUGAAAAUCAAUAUGCUGCAUAUACCUC